RNAcentral lists this ribosomal RNA (467 nucleotides) under uncultured bacterium. Its description in RNAcentral is "partial 16S ribosomal RNA". It matches the Rfam family "Bacterial small subunit ribosomal RNA", at positions 28 to 507 of the family's 1533-position model. The record is from RNAcentral.
GACGAACGCUGGCGGCGUGCUUAACACAUGCAAGUCGAGCGGAAAGGGCUGUUUCGGGGGGUGCGCGCGUGGCGCACGGGUGAGUAACACGUGCGUAAUCUGCCCUUGAGUUUGGGAUACCUUCCGGAAACUGGGGCUAAUACCGGAUAGGAGCUCCUUCUGCUUUGUUGUGGUUUGAAGGUUUCGGCGGUUGGGGUUGGAGUCGCUGCGUAUCGUUUUGUUGGUUGGGAAGUGGCUUCCCAAGGCAUUGUGGGGUAGGCGGCCCAGGAGGGUGUACGGCCACACUGAGACGGAGACACCGGCCAGAAUCAGACGGGAGGCAGCAGUGGUGAAUAUUGCACAAUGGGUGGAAGGCCGAGGCAACGACGCCGUGUCCGUGGUGAGGGAACUCGUGUUGUACACCGCGUACGCCCAUGACGAAGCGGUGCGUGACGGUAGUGGAUAAAGAAGGACCGGCUAACUACGUG